AGGUCACUGCUAUCGGGGUUCGAUUAAGCCAUGCGAGUCGAGAGGGUUCGGCCCUCGGCGUACUGCUCAGUAACACGUGGAUAACCUGCCCUAAGGAAGGGGAUAACCCCGGGAAACUGGGGAUAAUACCCUAUAGGUUACAGAUGCUGGAAUGCUUUGUAACCCAAAGUUCCGACGCCUUAGGAUGGAUCUGCGGCCGAUUAGGUUGUUGUUGGGGUAACGGCCCAACAAGCCCGUAAUCGGUACGGGUUGUGGGAGCAAGAGCCCGGAGUUGGAUUCUGAGACACGAAUCCAGGCCCUACGGGGCGCAGCAGGCGCGAAAACUUUACAAUGCGGGCAACCGUGAUAAGGGAACCUCGAGUGCCUGUAUAUGCAGGCUUGUCCANGUGUCUAAAAAACACUUGAANAAAGGGCCGGCAAGACCGGUGCCAGCCCGCCGCGGUAAUACCGGCGGCUCGAGUGGUGGCCCGCUUUUAUUGGGCUUAAAGCGUUCGUAGCUGGUUUGUUAAGUCUCUUGGGAAAUCUGACGGCUCAACCGUNAGGCGUCUAAGGGAUACUGGCAAUCUUGGAACCGGGAGAGGUGAGGGGUACUUCGGGGGUAGGAGUGAAAUCCUGUAAUCCUCGAGGGACCACCUGUGACGAAGGCGCCUCACCAGAACGGCUUCGACAGUGAGGGACGAAAGCUGGGGGAGCAAACCGGAUUAGAUACCCGGGUAGUCCCAGCCGUAAACGAUGUGCGUUAGGUGUAUCGACGACCACGAGUCGUCGAGGUGCCGAAGGGAAACCGUGAAACGUACCGCCUGGGAAGUACGGUCGCAAGGCUGAAACUUAAAGGAAUUGGCGGGGGAGCACCACAACAGGUGGAGCCUGCGGUUUAAUUGGACUCAACGCCGGAAAUCUCACCGGAUAAGACAGCGGAAUGAUUGCCGGGCUGAAGACUCUGCAUGACUAGCUGAGAGGAGGUGCAUGGCCGUCGUCAGUUCGUACUGUGAAGCAUCCUGUUAAGUCAGGCAACGAGCGAGACCCACGCCAACAGUUGCCAGCAUAGUCUCUGGACUGAUGGGGACACUGUUGGGACCGCCUCUGCUAAAGAGGAGGAAGGAAUGGGCAACGGUAGGUCAGCAUGCCCCGAAUUAUCCGGGCUACACGCGGGCUACAAUGGGCAGGACAAUGGGUAUCGACACCGAAAGGUGAAGGCAAUCUCCUAAACCUGUCCGUAGUUCGGAUUGUGGGCUGUAACUCGCCCACAUGAAGCUGGAAUCUGUAGUAAUCGCGUUUCAACAUAACGCGGUGAAUGUGUCCCUGCUCCUUGCACACACCGCCCGUCAAACCACCCGAGUGGGGUUUGGAUGAGGCUGCGGUCGUUGCCGCAGUCGAAUCUAGGUUCCGCAAGGGNGGUU
This 1400-nucleotide ribosomal RNA is filed under the name uncultured archaeon. RNAcentral's name for it is "bacterial SSU rRNA". It matches the Rfam family "Archaeal small subunit ribosomal RNA". The record is from RNAcentral.